CAUGGAAUAAUAAAAUAGGACGGUGGUCCUGUUUUGUUGGUUUCUGAAUCACCGUAAUGAUUAAUAGGGAUAGUUGGGGGCAUUAGUAUUCAAUUGUCAGAGGUGAAAUUCUUGGAUUUAUUGAAGACUAACUACUGCGAAAGCAUUUGCCAAGGAUGUUUUCAUUAAUCAAGAACGAAAGUUAGGGGAUCGAAGACGAUCAGAUACCGUCGUAGUCUUAACCAUAAACUAUGCCGACUAGGAAUCGGGCGACGUUAUUUUCAUGACUCGCUCGGCGCCUUAUG
Molecule: ribosomal RNA, 284 nt
Filed under: uncultured Glomeromycotina
Lineage: Eukaryota; Fungi; Glomeromycota
Description: partial 18S ribosomal RNA
Rfam family: Eukaryotic small subunit ribosomal RNA
Source: RNAcentral